AUGUGUCCCGUUGACAAGGAGGAAGAGGAAGAGGAAGAGGAAGGGAAGUCGCUGCAGCAGAUCCCCCACCUACUCAUCUCUCCCUCCCACUGCAAAGUGAAUCAGUGGCUCCGGGCAAACAUCUGGCAGAAGGAAGGAAUUAAGAACGGAUGGAUGGAUGGCGAAUCUACUCUCAACCAUGAGCCCACCUGGGAGUUUUCUCCUCCAAAAACAAUGGUUCUGAUUCACCAACAUCUGGAUGAGCUCUUUUGAAUUCUAAUAUCUGUCCUUUUAGUAAAAGGAUGUGAUGAAAACUAACCCAAGGAAGAUCUGAAAAACAACUGAAAGCACAAAUGCAAAAUUACCAGUGGGCAUUGCCUCACACAUGAGCAAUUAGAGCAAAAUCUCCCAAGUCUGACGGAAUUAACCUUGUGCCAACUAAGGGAGCAGUUUAAUAACUCCUCUUGUCAGAGAUUUUUCCGAUGAAAGAACUAAAGACAAGCCCAAGUCAGAAGAACAAUAAAGCAGGUAAAAACUCGUAUUGAACAAAGACAGAGACCCAUUCUUGUGAUUGGCAAGCCAUUGGUCACGGUUCAGUAACACAGAGAUGGUUCCAUUCCCUCGGUGACUCACACGAUUCUCCCCCAGAAAGACGGUGCUGCCAGGAUAUGAGUAGCUAGCUCAAAUAAUUGCAGGGUGCUUGCUCUUUGCCACCGGGGCUCCUGUUUCCGUAGAGAUCACAUCUUCCCCUAAUCAGAGCAGGAUUUUCAUAUGACCCAGCCAAAUAGCCCGUGUCCUUGACAUCUCAGGCAAAUUAGGGGGGAUUUUGAGUAGCAAGAACAGGAAAUUAAGAUUCUAGUAGAGCUGGUUGGAUUUUCUAGGAAGGAAUACAGACACAAUAGUUACCUCGCCAUCAUCAUGGUACUAAGUCUUUGCCUGCCUCAUCUCAAUUAAUCCCUGUAACAACCUCUCUGAGGUAUUAUCCUUCCCACAUUAGAAGUGGGAGAACUGGGGGCUCCUGGGUGGCUCAGUCGGUUAAGCAUCUGCCUUCGACUCAGGUCAUGAUCCCAGGGUCUUGGGAUCGAGCCCCGUGUCAGGCUCCCUGCUCGGCAGGGAGUCUGCUUCUCCCUCUGCUUCUGCCUCUCCCCUUGCUUGUGCUCUCUCACUCACUCUCUCUUUGUCUGUUUCAAACAAAUAAAGUCUUUUUUUCCAAAAGUAAGGGCACUAAGAUACAGUGUGGCUAAGUAAUUUGCCCAAGGCCACACAGCUAGUAAUGGCAGAGCCAAAAUUCAAACCUAGGAGUGUCUGGCACCAGAUCCUUUACUUACCUUAUUCACUUCUCAAUAAGCCCUGUCCUUAGAGGAAGAACUGGGGAGAGAUUGGUAUGAAAAUGCUUUUUAAAAAUAAUGUUUUUUAGGGGCAACUGGGUGACUGAGUCAGCUAAGCUUCUGACUCUUGAUUUCAGCUCAGGUCAUGAUCUCAGGGUUGUGAGAUCAAGCCCCUUAUUGGGCUCUGUGCUGGGCAUGGAGACUGCUUAAGAUUCUCUCUCUCUCUCUCCCUCUUUUUUAUUUCUCUCUCCCUCUUUCUCCUGCCUCUCCCUUAUCCUCUCCGUCUCACUAAAAUAAACAAAUAAAUAAAAUAAAAAUAAAAAUAAAAAUAAUUUUUAAAGAAAGAUGACAUUCAACUCAUCCCAGUCUGCUGUCCUGAUGCUCCACCCAAGAAUCAUGGAAGGCUCUUCUACGCCACAGACCAUCCGUGAACAGUGCCUGGGUACUGUAGAGCUGCUACCACAUCCAAAAUUAACAGCUAGAGUGAACUGUCACAGAGACUAAUUUGACUGACACAGUGACCACUGAAUAGGAAACCCUACACUUAAGUUUCUCCUUGCCCCUUCUUUCCCUUUUAUUUAAUAGAGCCCCAUGGCUCUUGUUACAAUAAGGAAAAGAGAUACAUGCUUGAUUAUUUUUGGUUUUAACUUUUAUACCCAAUCCUGCUUUUAUUUUUUUUUAAGAUUUUAAUUAAUUUAUUUGAAAGAGAGAGAGAGCACAAGCAAGGAGGGGAAGAAAGAGAAGCAGACUCCCCAUUGAGCAGGGAGCCCAAGGUGGGGCUGGAUCCCAGGACCCCGGGAUCGUGAUCUGAGCCGAAGGCAGACACUUAACUGACCGAACCACCCAGGUGUCCCCACAUCCUGACUCUUAAAGGAUAUUUUAUAUUUUUCAUUCCAAAAAAAAUCUUCUUAAUGAAUGUGUUUUGAUUUGACUAGGAGAGAAAGCAGACACGGUUGGUUAGCAAUCCUCUCAGUUUCAGGGUCUUGGGUAAGGGACAGGAAAGGAACCCAUGCCGUGCCCUUCCCUCCUACGCAUCUCCCCCAUCCCUGAGGUCCUGCAAGUCUUUUGGAAAUACAGAGCAAAGAGAGAAGAAAUUAGAAGUAGUGGGGGAAAUGGAAUAGAGCGAUGGUAUAACUGUAACUCUAUAAAUUCGUUCUCAUUUUUUCCUCUCCCUCCCUGUUCACCCAUCUCCUUUGAAGACAGAGAGGGCCCAGAAGAUUCUGCUAUGAAUCUUUAGCGUAAGAAAGAGGGAAGUGGAAACUGCCAACGGGGUGCGGUGACCUCGCUGACGGGCUAAGGCCUCUGCUUAGACUUCAGAGUAAGUAUCCCGUGAGCCAGACCCCACAGAGAUGCCUGUUCUCAGGCUAGUUCUAUAGAUUUCCUACUUCAUUUGCAUUUAUUUUGUCUGCUUGUCAGUUUCAGUAAACACUUUAAUUAAUGAUAUAUUUUAAAGUCCUUGAUCAUGUGCCGUGUAGCUAAAGGGUACAAUUUUUUAAAUCAAUGAGGAAAAAAAAAAUCGCUACCAGGGCCCAAAAAAAUCACCAUCUAGAACAGCUGGUGUUUCGCAUAUAAAAGGGGUGGGGGUGUGAGACAGAAAUUCUCCAAGUCAGGAAUUCUAUAACUUUGCCUAGAAAGGGGUCUUUCUUGCAGUACAGUUCACUGGGAAAGCCGCCUCAAAGGUAACA
Molecule: long non-coding RNA, 2992 nt
Filed under: Canis lupus familiaris (dog)
Lineage: Eukaryota; Metazoa; Chordata; Mammalia; Carnivora; Canidae
Description: lncRNA (ENSCAFG00845027439.1)
Source: RNAcentral